This 274-nucleotide unclassified non-coding RNA is filed under the name Hevea brasiliensis (rubber tree). Lineage: Eukaryota; Viridiplantae; Streptophyta; Magnoliopsida; Malpighiales; Euphorbiaceae. The record is from RNAcentral.
AUGCCUCUGCCGCAGGAUUUCGGAUCUUGGAUCUUUUAAGUGAAUUGCACCCGGCUUGUGAACGUCUGCCCGAAGUUCCAAUUCGCCGGGACAAUGUUGGGGAAGUCGAGAGUCACGCCGUCGCUGGUGGUGACGCGGAAAGAGAGCGCCUGCCUAUUGAGGUAGCUGUUGGACUGCCAGUUAGCGCCCCAGUUCCUCGACAUCGCAGUCCAACCCGUGUUUGAGCCUUUGAUUGAAACCGACUGGACCGCCCCGCUACCGCCGACGUUGCUGA